This 72-nucleotide transfer RNA is filed under the name Tagetes erecta (African marigold). RNAcentral describes it as "tRNA-Lys". Lineage: Eukaryota; Viridiplantae; Streptophyta; Magnoliopsida; Asterales; Asteraceae. The record is from RNAcentral.
GGGUUGCUAACUCAACGGUAGAGUACUCGGCUUUUAAGUUUUUUACCAAAAAGUGAAAUAGAUCCAAUAGAU